CUUUCUUUUGUCAAUUCCCAUCACUUAACUCUUUCACCUUCUCUCUUCUUUUUUUCUCUAAGUCACUCUCCUUUGAAAGCAAACAAAGAUGGGGAAGGAGGGAAGAAGAAAGCAGACUUCUCUAAUUCUUUGGGCUGCCUUUGCUGCAUUGUUUGCACAGAAUUUGGUCAUUCCUGUCAUGUCUACUGCUUCUUUUGAAGAACAAAAGACUUAUUACUCUCCUGAUCCAAAUGCCGGAAGUCCCCCAACAGGUCUCUUCUCAUAUCUUUAAUUCAAAUACCCGGACAGAUUCGCUGUUUAAUUACUUUUUCUAGUCGGUAUACAUUGAUUAUGCACAAUUAUACACAUAUUAUACAUGAAUUAUACACAUUGUAUAUCCUUGGUUAUUUUCAGUUUAAGAGAUUAGGUGAGCGGUUAUUUGGAUUAAUGUUUAUCGUAUAUAGUUUCAUAGUCUUCUUGUUACUAGUUAUUUUAAAGUUUAGUUGACAAAAGCUAAUAUGUUUUCUUUAACUACUUUAUGAACCUAAAAUGGGCUGAUUUGCUGGUAGUAGCAGAAAUUAUAAAGGUAAAAUAGCUAAACAAGAACCAACACAGAUGUACAUAAUAGAAUAUGUUUGCUAAACCAACAUCUUUUCCAAGUCUUCCCAAAUUUGGAGACAUGAGCAUUUAUUCAAAUAUUAUUUUGAAUGAUCUUACCUAGAGUUUAACUUCUCUAUACAUUAUAGGUCACCUAAAAGAUAACUAUAGUUACGUAACAUGAAAAUAAGACAAAUUUCUUGUUACAAUAGGUUAAAGUAAGUGCAAAAACUCUUUCUGUUAUUGUCAGUGUAUAUAUAUUAACUCCUCUUUAUAUAUACCAUUUUGCAGUACUCACGACAUAGUUUUAUGAUUAACAGGUUCUCACACACCUCCAUCACAUUCAGGAGGUGGCCAUGGAACAUCACCUUCUCACGGAACACCUUCGCAUGGAGGCGGUAGCCAUGGAGGAACACCACCUGCAAACUGUGGUAAUCCCGCCCCUAGUGGCGGGCAUCACCACAACCCUACCCCAUCGCCUCCUUCAGGAGGCCAUGGAGGUGGUGGUUACUAUCCCUCCCCUCCAUCUCAUAGUGGAAGCCCUCCAAGUACUCCUACACCUACACCUAGUACCCCCAGUACACCAUCCACCCCCUCCACACCUACUAUUGUCACCCCGCCUACACCUCCUACCAUUGACCCUGGCACUCCAAGCACUCCAGGGGGUGGUUACUAUGGUGGAAGUCCUCCAAGUAUUCCUACACCUAGUACCCCUAGUAUUACACCCACUACCCCUUCUACACCUAUCAUUGAAACACCACCAACUACUCCUGUCGUUGAAACACCACCAACUACUCCUACUAUUGAUCCAGGCACUCCAAGUGCUCCAGGAGUCUUUCCAAU
Molecule: long non-coding RNA, 1419 nt
Filed under: Nicotiana tabacum (common tobacco)
Lineage: Eukaryota; Viridiplantae; Streptophyta; Magnoliopsida; Solanales; Solanaceae
Description: long non-coding RNA (NTAB_LNC000693)
Source: RNAcentral